CAGCAGCCGCGGUAAUACAGAGGGUGCGAGCGUUAAUCGGAUUUACUGGGCGUAAAGCGUGCGUAGGCGGCUUUUUAAGUCGGAUGUGAAAUCCCUGAGCUUAACUUAGGAAUUGCAUUCGAUACUGGGAAGCUAGAGUAUGGGAGAGGAUGGUAGAAUUCCAGGUGUAGCGGUGAAAUGCGUAGAGAUCUGGAGGAAUACCGAUGGCGAAGGCAGCCAUCUGGCCUAAUACUGACGCUGAGGUACGAAAGCAUGGGGGCAAACAGGAUUAGAUACCCCUGUAGUCCCUGUCUCUUAUACA
This 301-nucleotide ribosomal RNA is filed under the name uncultured bacterium. RNAcentral's name for it is "partial 16S ribosomal RNA". It matches the Rfam family "Bacterial small subunit ribosomal RNA", at positions 509 to 808 of the family's 1533-position model. The record is from RNAcentral.